Molecule: RNA transcript, 2436 nt
Organism: Beta vulgaris subsp. vulgaris (sugar beet)
Lineage: Eukaryota; Viridiplantae; Streptophyta; Magnoliopsida; Caryophyllales; Amaranthaceae
Gene name: F-box protein CPR1
Exons: 2
Source: RefSeq, a predicted model, not a curated record
AGUUUCGGUUUCAGGCAAAGUUCGAAGACAGACCAAAAAUGGCGCCACUACCAACUGAACUAAUCGCCGAAAUCCUCUCUAAUUUACCAGUAAAACAACUUCUUCAAUUCCUAAUCGUUUCAAAAUCAUGGUAUAACCUAAUUAAAAGCCCUAAUUUCAUCAAACUCCACCUCAAUCAAACCCUAAUUUCCGAUUCUCAUCGUCACCUCAUCCUCUCCUACUCUUCUCUCUCCUCCAGCGAACUCCACGACCGCCAUUUUCGAUUCUCUGAGAUUAACCACCCCUUAAAAACUCACCACCAUGAAAAUGAACGAUGUCGUUUUCGCGAUCCUUUUGAAUCUUCUGGAAUUCGUCUUUUGGGUUCUUGCAACGGCGUCGUUUGCAUCUCAGAUUCCGAUAAAAACGACGUCGUUUUAUUCAAUCCGUCAACGAGAACUUACCGUAAGCUACCAAGUUCGGGUAACCCGGAUUCGAAUAAGUUUGCGGUUUUCGGGUUCGGGUAUGAUUGUUCAAGUGAUGAUCAUAAGGUUUUGAAGUUGAUACAAUGUUGUGGACCUAAUAAUGAGGUUUAUAAUGAUGCAAAAGUUUAUAGUUUGAGGUUAAAUUCUUGGAAAAGGGUAAAUGAUUUUCCGUACUAUUUGAUUUACCCUGAUUUUCAUGGUGCAUUUGUUGCUAAUUCAUUGCAUUACAUUGUUAGUGAUGUAGCGUACGAAUCGAGGAAGAAGUCGAUUGCAAGGUUCGAUCUUAGGACUGAGAGUUACUCGAUUUUGGAUUGCCCUGAGUAUGAUGAUGAUAUAAGGAGUUGGACAUUUUAUUUAGGGAACUUAGGUGGUUGUUUGUGUUGUGCUGUUAAUUAUGAUUUUCAUGGUCGUGCUGAUUUGUGGGUGAUGAAGGAGUAUGGAAACAAGGAUUCGUGGAUUCCGGCUAUCCGAAUUAACAAAGAGGAGAGUAGUUUGAUUGAUUUUAGGCCUGUUGGUUGUUCUGCUGACAAGGAAAGGAUUUUGGUUGAGGUGGAUAAUUGUGAGCUGCAUUGGUACGAUAUGAGGUCUGAAACGGCCUUGCGAGCUGGAGUUGAUGGGCUGCCGAAAGAGAAUUAUGACUUGGAGAUCUUUGUGGAAAGCCUUGUUAUGCUUGGUGAUGAUAAGGUUCAGCCAGAACGGGGAUCACCAACACGCAAUCAUAUGAAGAAGAAGUAUAUUCGAUUUUUUGGCCUGUCUCUUACUAUCCAAUGCAUGAUUACUUGCAUUUCUAGUUAUGAUUUCAAUGGUUUUUUAGUGUUUUGGUUGCCUUGGUUAUCAUUUUGCUUAUUCGCGUGGUUAAUGUGGCUUAUUUGGUUAGUUGUUGUUGUUGUUGUGUCUAUAGAUGGGGAAAAUCUUUAGAAGCUUAUAUGAUGCUUGGUAUGGUUGUCUACUGCUCUUUGACGUGGUUAUACACUAUUCUAAUUAUCAGCUUAUUAUGUUUACAACUAGGACCCUUAGGAAAGCAAGGCCAUUCCUCGACCUUGUUCUUGACAUCGCGGCUCAUUUAAUGAGAAACAUGAUUGCACUAGUUUUGUGUGUACUUCGAGAGUUCAUUCGAAUGCCUCUUGAAGUUCGUUGGAUACUUGGAUUGGCUUUAUACAAUUGAUAAAUUAAUUUGAUCUAUUAAUAUGUAUUAGCUUUUAACAGUUUUAAGAAGAUUUUGGGUGAUUUGUUUUCUGAAGUAAACAUAUCCAUGUUUGUCAUAUUGUAUUUAUGUGUAGCUAAUGCUUAAUGUUCCUGCAAGAUAACCUAUGUAAGUAAGCAGAGUGUGAACUGAAAGUUAGGUUGUGCUAUUAUAUUGAAGAUAUGUGUUGCAUGUUAUGUCACCCAUGAUAAAAGGAAUCAUUAUGUUUAUUGCUCUUUGUCUCAGGACUGAUCUAGAUGAUUUUCUUGCUGUGGGUUUCAAGCUGCGACUUUGAUCAACUUGAAGAUCCUACUGUCCUACUGCUGGUGAACUAUAGGUUGCAACAUAACUUUAUUGUGGACGCACUUGUGGUGGAUAACCUUUUGCAGGAGCCGUAUUGUUUAUAUCUCGUUAUGUUGGUGUUUUCGGGUUGUACAGUUGAUAAAUUCACAAUUAUUGUAGAGUGUUUGUGAACUAGUCGAUUACCGUCGUUUCUGUUUUCUUUUUGUUUUUGCAAAAAGAGUUUCUGUUUGUGAAGAAGUUGGAAUUUUCCUUCAGCUGUUGAGUUUUGCCACCCUUUUGUUUAUAUUAGCCGUUAAUGAACUCUGUUUGGAAACGAUGUGGUAGCUUCAGCCUUCAUGGACAACUAAUUGUGUUCAUAGAUAUAGUGAAAUUUAGUUGAAAUUACAAAAGACUAUGUUGUAGUCGGAAUGCUAAAAAAAUGACCUAUUUUUAGAGUUUAUUCUGUUUAAUGACUAAAUUCUGCAUUUACCAGUAUAAUGUUGUGUGAUU